UACGUAGGGGGCAAGCGUUGUCCGGAAUCAUUGGGCGUAAAGCGCGUGUAGGCGGUUCGAUAAGUCUGCUGUGAAAGUCCAGGGCUCAACCCUGGAAAGCCGGUGGAUACUGUCGAACUAGAGUGCGGAAGAGGCGAGUGGAAUUCCCGGUGUAGCGGUGAAAUGCGCAGAUAUCGGGAGGAACACCAAUUGCGAAGGCAGCUCGCUGGGACGUUACUGACGCUGAGACGCGAAAGCGUGGGGAGCAAACAGG
Molecule: ribosomal RNA, 253 nt
Filed under: uncultured bacterium
Lineage: Bacteria
Description: partial 16S ribosomal RNA
Rfam family: Bacterial small subunit ribosomal RNA
Source: RNAcentral